Molecule: long non-coding RNA, 712 nt
Organism: Balaenoptera ricei (Rice's whale)
Lineage: Eukaryota; Metazoa; Chordata; Mammalia; Artiodactyla; Balaenopteridae
Exons: 3
Source: RefSeq, a predicted model, not a curated record
GAGACUCAGAGAAGAAGGCCAUGAGAAGACAGAGGCAGAGAUUGAAGUGAUAUUGCCACGAGCUGAGGACCACAUGGAGCCACAAGAAGCUGGAAGAGUGCCUCCCAAGGUGACUGUGUCCUGUCAGAUGCUCCAGAAGACAGCAUCACCUGUCUGCCCUUGCCUCUGGCCUUUGCCCUUGCUCCAUCCUGUUUCACUGGAAGAAGGACUAGGUGCUCGCAUGAAUCUGGAACAAAUGAGGCCUCCAAGGAAGAGGAGGAGGUGUCCUGAUUCGGCAGAAAAAUUUGAGUCACCAGCUUGGUGAGAAGCUCAUAGCAACCUUCAGAGAAAUUUCACGCCCUUGAAGGUUUCUGCAAGAACCCUUUUACCCCUUUCUUGUCCUUAACCUCCACUCUGCUAGACGCCCCCCAUGGCGAGCAUGAAAAUGCGCCUGUCAGAUCUCCACUUCCAGGGAGUGUAAUUGAUGGAGGUCCUGAGCUGCUGUGCUCUGAAAUCCAUCACCUCCUGGGUGUUGAGGCCACACUUCUGACAGUGUUCUCCCAGUCAAAGGCAGAGUGCAGUGGGGACACUAAGGCAGGAUACCAAGGGGAUGCCUGGGGGAUGUAAGACUCCUUUGAUGGGUCACUGGCUCCAGUACCCCGCACUGGCCUUGCCAAAAACUCCUUGGAUGAUGAGCAUCCUGGGAUGAUUCCACCCAGCCUCCUCUCUUCUC